RNAcentral lists this long non-coding RNA (518 nucleotides) under Homo sapiens (human). RNAcentral describes it as "HSALNT0246496". Lineage: Eukaryota; Metazoa; Chordata; Mammalia; Primates; Hominidae. The record is from RNAcentral.
GGGGUGAGACACAGCUCUGUGUUUUUAAUCGCGCUGUGGGGUGCCGGAGGCCACCUGGACGGACGGAGCCCGGCCCAACGCCCUCCCAGCCUGGGUCUCCUUGGCUGCAGGUGGGCAAAAGUGACAGACCAGAACUACCCAGCCUUGGGCCAGUGCCAGCCUGUGCACCUGUCCCGGUGGCUUGGGGCACGCGACGCCUCUGGGCCCUGGGUCAGUCCCAGGAGAACUGGCCUCCCCUGACCCCUGCAUGGGGCUGGGCACUUGGCCUGGGAAAAGCCGGAGUCUGGAACAGCCUGGCCGUUGGCCUUGGCAGCCUCGCUUCCAGCUGGGACUGUCAUCUGUCUGGAAUUCAGAUGGAAAAACCUGCCCUUGUGAGUGAUGAGGGAAGGUGCCAGACAGCAUGGGUUGCACCAAGUGCUUUCCUAGGGGCAGAAAGGGGCCCGUGCACCACGCCACCUCCCGGGGCUGACCCUCCAGGUGGCCAGGAGCGCACCUGUGAUGCUGUGCAGGUUCAGGGC